GGAAUUUUGCGCAAUGGGCGGAAGCCUGACGCACCAACGCCGCGUGGAGGAAGAAGGCCCCCGGGUCGUAAACUCCUGUCCAUGGGGAAGAUGGUGACGCUACCCUUGGAGGAAGCCCCGGCUAACUCCGUGCCAGCAGCCGCGGUAAUACGGGGGGGGCGAGCGUUGUUCGGAUUUACUGGGCGUAAAGGCCGCGCAGGCGGCGCCGGAAGUCCUGGGUGAAAGCUCCCGGCUCAACUGGGAGAGGGCCUGGGAAACCACGGUGCUGGAGUGCUGGAGAGGGAAGCGGAAUUCCCGGUGUAGCAGUGAAAUGCGUAGAUAUCGGGAGGAACAUCCGUGGCGAAGGCGGCUACCUGGACCAGCACUGACACUGAGGCACGAAAGCGUGGGGAGCAAAC
Molecule: ribosomal RNA, 398 nt
Filed under: uncultured bacterium
Lineage: Bacteria
Description: bacterial SSU rRNA
Rfam family: Bacterial small subunit ribosomal RNA
Source: RNAcentral